CUUGUGCAUGCAAUCGCUUAUGGCUUGAGUCCCAAUUUUCACUUUGUAAUUUGGUUACCUACAAUAGCCGGAGGGUGUACAUAUGUUCAGUAAACUAUCAGUUCUCUAACUUCUGUUUGCCGGUAUCAUCUCUUUAGGAAAAAGAGAGACAACAUUUCAGUGAUUCCUCAUAACUAAAAAUGACCAGAGUGGAAAGAGCAGAAUCAAAAUUCCUUCAUAGGAACCUGGAAGCCUCUCCUCUUCUGACGUUCCUUCCUUCCAUUCCAUUCACUCAGUGGUAAAGAUGAAAAAGGAAAGGAUAAUCAGUGUUGGAAGGACCAAGGGAAGAUAAUUGGUGUCAUCUCAGUGGAUCUAAAAAUAGUAUGAUCAUUCUUCAGUUCAAUCUGGAAUUAAACAAGAAAGGCUAGGAAAGGACUCUGGUAUCCGUUCUGGAUUUUUCUGAAAGUAGCCCUGGAUAAUGUGAAUGAGCCAUGGGCAUCUGCUUCCAGAGGAAUUGUGGCAGAUGAAGAGACAGCUGGGAAAGGAUGAAAUUGUCUCUAAACUUCUAUGCCUUGGUGUGGGAUAUGAGCUCCUCAUUAGCAGCCUUGCAGAAAACAAUUACAGGAAGCCUAGAUUAGAAGACAGCUUGAUCUCAAACUGUGUGAGAAGGUGGACCAGAUCAGGAUUAAAAGAAGAUUCAAUGGAUCUACCAAGAAGGAGGAAACAAGGAAAAUGAAUGUCUAUUAGACCCUCGGGGAAGAUUUUCAACAGAUGAGGAAAUUGAGGUCCAAAGAAGAAUUUGGCCAAGGUCAUAGCAGGUAAAAAGCAUAAAAAAGGGGAUUUGACUUCUGAACCAUCAACUCUAAAUACAAGACUCCUACUACUAUAUCAACAGGACCCCACUAAACCUCAGAACUUGCCUUCCUUAUAGUGACAAAAAAAAGAAAAAAUCCAAUUUAUAUAGUCUAAACUGUGUAAAAAAAAUUAUAUUUUUUCUUAGCUUCUGCUGGAAGUUAAAUAGAGAAUGAAUUGCUCAGUUAAUUUUCUAAUCCCAAGGCUGAGGGAGAAAAAAAGAGAGACUUAGCUGAAAAAAAAAGUUUCUACCUUUGGGAGAGACUGGGAAUAGAAAUAGAAGGAAAUGUGUUGUCUCUCUCUGUUACAUGCUGAUUAAUUCUGCUUUUAUUAUCAUUUCCCUAAUUUAAUUAAAUGCUUAUUCUAGUAUAUCUUUGAUGUACCAAUGAAGCACAACAUCCAGUAAUGUAAAGAUUAGGAAGAGCAAGGAGAAUGAGGACCCAAGCCCCAAAUCUAAUGAGUGGAAGUAUUAACCUAUCCCCUAGAUGGAGGGUUCUUAACCCAAGGUUGGGAAACUU
RNAcentral lists this long non-coding RNA (1349 nucleotides) under Monodelphis domestica (gray short-tailed opossum). Its description in RNAcentral is "lncRNA (ENSMODG00000039628.1)". Lineage: Eukaryota; Metazoa; Chordata; Mammalia; Didelphimorphia; Didelphidae. The record is from RNAcentral.